AGUUUAGCCUGCCCGGUGAAGAUAUUUUAACGGCCGCAGUACUUUGACUGUGCUAAGGUAGCAAAAUAAAUUGGCUUCUAAUUAAAGUCGAGUAUGAAUGGCAUCAUGGGUGAAAGCUGUCUUAUUCAAUUACAUCUUAACUUAAUAAUUAGGUGAAAAUGCCUACUUAUAAAUAUUAGACGAGAAGACCCUCAGAGUUUUUUAAUAAAGCAUCUAACAAAUUAGAUAUCCUUUUUUGUUGGGGCGACAAAGUAGCAUAUAAAGCAUACUUAAUAAAUCCAGUACAAGUCUAGGUAUAUGUAUGAAUAUAACUACCUAAGGGAUAACAGCAUAAUUUUAUUAUUAAGAUUGUGACCUCGAUGUUGGACUAGGGACUUAAUGUAUUAGCCAUAGA
RNAcentral lists this ribosomal RNA (394 nucleotides) under Arion subfuscus. RNAcentral's name for it is "partial 16S ribosomal RNA". The record is from RNAcentral. Lineage: Eukaryota; Metazoa; Mollusca; Gastropoda; Stylommatophora; Arionidae.